RNAcentral lists this ribosomal RNA (815 nucleotides) under uncultured bacterium. RNAcentral describes it as "bacterial SSU rRNA". It matches the Rfam family "Bacterial small subunit ribosomal RNA", at positions 56 to 918 of the family's 1533-position model. The record is from RNAcentral.
UGCAAGUCGAGCGCGCCCUUCGGGGUGAGCGGCGGACGGGUUAGUAACGCGUGGGAAUAUGCCCUUUGGUACGGAAUAGCCUCUGGAAACGGAGAGUAAUACCGUAUGAGCCCUUCGGGGGAAAGAUUUAUCGCCAAAGGAUUAGCCCGCGUUAGAUUAGGUAGUUGGUGGGGUAAUGGCCUACCAAGCCUACGAUCUAUAGCUGGUUUUAGAGGAUGAUCAGCAACACUGGGACUGAGACACGGCCCACACUCCUACGGGAGGCAGCAGUGGGGAAUCUUGGACAAUGGGGGCAACCCUGAUCCAGCCAUGCCGCGUGAGUGAUGAAGGCCCUAGGGUCGUAAAGCUCUUUCGCCUGUGAAGAUAAUGACGGUAGCAGGUAAAGAAACCCCGGCUAACUCCGUGCCAGCAGCCGCGGUAAUACGGAGGGGGUUAGCGUUGUUCGGAAUUACUGGGCGUAAAGCGCACGUAGGCGGAUCGGAAAGUUGGGGGUGAAAUCCCGGGGCUCAACCCCGGAACUGCCUCCAAAACUAUCGGUCUAGAGUUCGAGAGAGGUGAGUGGAAUUCCGAGUGUAGAGGUGAAAUUCGUAUAUAUUCGGAGGAACACCAGUGGCGAAGGCGGCUCACUGGCUCGAUACUGACGCUGAGGUGCGAAAGUGUGGGGAGCAAACAGGAUUAUAUACCCUGGUAGUCCACACCGUAAACGAUGAAUGCCAGUCGUCGGGUAGCAUGCUAUUCGGUGACACACCUAACGGAUUAAGCAUUCCGCCUGGGGAGUACGGUCGCAAGAUUAAAACUCAAAGGAAUUGACGGGG